GAUGAAGAACGCAGCGAAAUGCGAUAAGUAAUGUGAAUUGCAGAAUUCAGUGAAUCAUCGAAUCUUUGAACGCACAUUGCGCCCGCCAGUAUUCUGGCGGGCAUGCCUGUUCGAGCGUCAUUUCAACCAUCAAGCCCCCGGCUUGUGUUGGGGACCUGCGGCUGCCGCAGGCCCUGAAAAGCAGUGGCGGGCUCGCUGUCACACCGAGCGUAGUAGAUUUCAUCUCGCUCAGGGCGUGCUGCGGGUUCCGGCCGUUAAACCACCUUCAUAACCCAAGGUUGACCUCGGAUCAGGUAGGAAGACCCGCUGAACUUAAGCAUAUCAAUAAGCGGAGGA
RNAcentral lists this unclassified non-coding RNA (336 nucleotides) under soil metagenome. RNAcentral describes it as "partial contains 5.8S ribosomal RNA, internal transcribed spacer 2, and large subunit ribosomal RNA". The stretch from base 1 to 120 matches the Rfam family "5.8S ribosomal RNA", at positions 35 to 154 of the family's 154-position model. The record is from RNAcentral.